UCCAUAACCACCCGCACGACCAGAAGGCGAAAUCCAUUCGCUGCGAAAAAAAAGUUCGAACACCUCAGUCCAAAUUAAGGACAAAUAUAUGGAACAUGUCGCUCAUUUUUUCAUGGUCAUCAGGAGGGGCGCUUUUUUUUUAUAGGACAUUACGACAGAAAAGUGAAUCUUUGAUUCAGGACGAUUGCCCGUAGCUGAUAUGGGUUGGUUUUUUACAUCAGGCCAUCAUUACCGAAGGCAGGAUUUUAACGGGAGAACUUGCGAUUUAAAAACUGGUAUUUCCAGGUCAUGGAGGGUCAUCUCAGGUUAGGAGGUGUGAAUUCUUACUGAAGGACUUUUGAUCAUCGUGCACUAUCAAAAGAGAGAGUGAAGAAAGAGAGAGAGAAACCGUUAUUCUAAGGAAACAGUGACGAAAUAUCGUCGUUAUCUACGGACAAUGAAUUGAUUCCUUAUCUGGAGACACCAAGAGCCAAUCUCACUAUUUUGGGAGUUAAGAAAAGCAGGGUGUUUCCCCAGAGAGAUGGCUGUGUGAAUAUGCCACAAGAGUUUUUCAAGCAUUAACUUCCUCGUGUUUACUUGAAACUAAUUAGGAAUCAAAAGUACAAGAACUCAUUAAGGAGGAGAAUGUUUUCAAAGAAAUUACGAUGACAAAUGAAUUUUUAAUUCCUGUUUCUAUUGAUUACGAAAAUAACAAAAAUUUCCUCUCAUGCACAUUAACACCAAAAUGCGAGCUUCGCUGAGACUUUUAGCCCAGGCAAGGGUUUUUUACCCCUCCUAGAUAAGGAGUGGUAACGGGCAGGGAAGUGUUGUCGCCCCAUAUAACCCUAAAGGCAGAUGGCCGAUUCCUGGAAAGUCCUCUGUUCUCACUCUUGUACACCUGUUUAUUUCAGUUAUGAGUUGCGUUGACCAAAAGCUACAAAAACUCUCGCCCUAACAUUUUAUUUAUUAAGAACUCUUAUCCUGCCGUGUGGCGAGGUAGCUGCAAAAUAGAGCAAUUAAUUCCUUCACUUUAAUUGACUGUUGAUGGCCACAUGUUGUGAUUCUCAUGAGCAUAUAUCUAUCCUGAGAAUUUAUUUCUUCGGUCCUCUUUUGCAUAGGUAUCGGUUGAUUAUUAUCGCAACUAUUGCUUUAUCGCCAAACUCAUAUUUGUAAACGAUUUCAAAUGAGCGCACGCAAGGAUAUUACGCAGCAAAUCUAGUUUGAACCUUUAGGAUGAGGAACAAAACAAAAAUCAACGCCAAUUCUAACCUCUAAAAACAGUGAAGUCUCUUGGAAGUAGAGAUGAACCAGUAAACAUAUGAAGCACAUGACAAAACGCUUUAAAAAUAAGUUAAAAAAAAAACUAACCUUAAAACAUAAGAAGGUUUAGGCGAUCUUAUAAAUAAGUAAGUAAUUAAAAAAUCUCCUCUUUGCGUUCA
This is a long non-coding RNA of Stylophora pistillata, 1418 nucleotides long. NCBI's taxonomy places the organism in Eukaryota, Metazoa, Cnidaria, Anthozoa, Scleractinia, Pocilloporidae. The record is from RefSeq and is a predicted model, not a curated record.